Molecule: long non-coding RNA, 455 nt
Organism: Myxocyprinus asiaticus (Chinese sucker)
Lineage: Eukaryota; Metazoa; Chordata; Actinopteri; Cypriniformes; Catostomidae
Exons: 3
Source: RefSeq, a predicted model, not a curated record
CAAGACCCUGAGAUUCUUGCUGUGGAGCAGGAGAACCAGAGACUUGAAGAGGAAAUCUUCAGAAUCCAGCCGGCCAGGGAGAGACACAAAGGGGAACACGCUCAAGUGGUUUCUGUUCGUUGUAAUCAUUGGCUCAGGGCCUCAUGAUAUCCAGAAGGACCACAUACAUCACAUGGCUAACCUCCAGGCUGAGAUCACCUUUCUAAGGAGAGAAAUAGGAAAGGGGAGAGAAAGAAGGCUACCGCCUCCAUCUCUUCUACCUCUUUUGCCCUCUCUCAACCUAACACACCCUGCUCUGGCACUGAUGCACAACACAGUAAUAUCUAAAGGUCUGGAUUCAUACAACCAUGAAAUUGAGGGAUUUGUGUCUUGAGGCUGGGCAAAGCUUUAACUCUUUGACCAGUACAACCAGGCAUUCAGUGGUCAUUGGAGGGUUCCAUUACACUCUCUCCCUG